RNAcentral lists this microRNA precursor (86 nucleotides) under Solanum lycopersicum (tomato). RNAcentral's name for it is "MIR8024 microRNA precursor family". It matches the Rfam family "MIR8024 microRNA precursor family". The record is from Rfam by way of RNAcentral. Lineage: Eukaryota; Viridiplantae; Streptophyta; Magnoliopsida; Solanales; Solanaceae.
UUGAAAAUUUUGAAAACUUCAACUUGCAGACUUGGAGAAUGUGAAGACUUAAACUUGUAGAUUUGGAGAAUUUGAAAAAAUCAACC